AAUCUUCCGCAAUGGACGAAAGUCGGACGGAGCGAUGCCGCGUGAGUGAUGAAGGUCUUCGGAUCGUAAAACUCUGUUGUUAGGGAAGAACAAGUACCCGAGUAAUAUGCCGGUACCUUGACGGUACCUAACCAGAAAGCCCCGGCCAACUACGUGCCAGCAGCCGCCGUAAUUCGUAGGGGGCAAGCGGCGUCCGGAAUUAUUGGGCGUAAAGGGCACGCAGGCGGUUAUUUACGUCUGAUGUGAAAUCUUGUGGCUUAACCACAAGCGGUCAUUGGAAACUGAAUAACUUGAGUACAGAAGAGGAGGGUGGAAUUCCACGUGUAGCGGUGAAAUGCGUAGGGAUAUGGAGGAACACCAGUGGCGAAGGCGGCUCUCUGGUCUGUAACUGACGCUGAGGUGCGAAAGCGUGGGUAGCGAACA
RNAcentral lists this ribosomal RNA (423 nucleotides) under uncultured bacterium. RNAcentral describes it as "partial 16S ribosomal RNA". It matches the Rfam family "Bacterial small subunit ribosomal RNA", at positions 360 to 774 of the family's 1533-position model. The record is from RNAcentral.